AUGGCCUGGGCCUCUCUCCUUCUCUUUCUAUGCACAGUGUCUGUGACUCAGGCUGGGCUGACUCAGCCGUCCUCAGUGUCUAAAGGGCUGACAGAGACAAUCAAAAUCACCUGCAUUGGAGACAGCAAUAAUGUAGGUUAUGAGGGUGCAGGAUGGGUGCAGCAGCGUGAGAGUCAGGCACCCCAAACUCUUAUAUACAGGAAUAAUAACCGGCUCCCAGGAAUCUCAGAGAGAUUCUCUGGCUCCAGGUCUGGCAAUGUGGCCACCCUGACCAUUUCUGAUGUCCAAGUGGAAGAUGAGGCUGACUAUUACUGUACAGCCUGGGACAAAGGCAUCAAUGUUUGCACAAUGCUUGAAGCCAGUGGGGAAGAUGAAUUCUUCUCAAUUGUGCUUUAG
Non-coding RNA from Chrysochloris asiatica (Cape golden mole), 396 nucleotides. The record is from the annotation of a RefSeq genome assembly. NCBI's taxonomy places the organism in Eukaryota, Metazoa, Chordata, Mammalia, Afrosoricida, Chrysochloridae.